This 2499-nucleotide ribosomal RNA is filed under the name Triticum aestivum (bread wheat). RNAcentral's name for it is "partial small subunit ribosomal RNA". The record is from RNAcentral. Lineage: Eukaryota; Viridiplantae; Streptophyta; Magnoliopsida; Poales; Poaceae.
AUGGCUGAUCGCCCGGCACCGCAGAAGCCUCAGGGCCAUACUCAGUCCUACUCCGUUGAUCCGCACUGGUACAUGGAUUCUGGUGCGACGGAGCAUCUGACGAAUGAGAUGGGGAAGCUUCAUCCUCGCGAGCCCUAUCAUGGUUCCGAUAAGAUCCACACCACCAACGGAGUAGGUAUGCACAUCUCCCAUAUUGGUCAAGCAUCUCUUCUCACUAGUCAUGCCAAUAGGAGGCUUCAGCUUCGUGAUGUUCUUAGAGUACCAUCUGUGACGCGUAAUCUCCUUUCCGUUCCUAAACUCACUUAUGACAAUAAUGUGUUUUGUGAAUUUCACCCGUUUGAUCUUUUUAUUAAGGAUCGGGACACGAGGGCCGUUCUGCUUAGUGGGCGUCUCUACCAGGGCCUUUAUCGUCUGGAGCAUCCUGGAGUCUCUCGGGUUUUCAGUGGAGUUCGCGUCUCAUCGUCACAGUGGCAUGCUCGUCUUGGUCAUCCUGCCACACCUAUCAUUCGUCAUGUUUUGCGUCGUCAUGAGCUUCCUAGUGUCUCUAGCAAUAAUGAUGUAGCAGUGUGUGAUGCUUGUCAGCAGGGGAAGACUCAUCAACUUCCCUUUUCGGAGUCUAGCCGUGAGGUGAAACAUCCUUUAGAACUUGUUUUUUCGGAUGUAUGGGGCCCUGCCCAAACUUCUGUCAGUGGUCAUAACUAUUAUAUUAGUUUUGUGGAUGCUUACAGUCGUUUUACUUGGCUCUAUCUUAUUAAGCGUAAAUCUGAUGCGUUUGAUAUUGUCGUUCAGUUUCAAAAACACGUUGAACGUCUUCUCAAGCAUAAAAUUGUUCAUGUUCAGUCGGACUGGGGUGGCGAGUAUCGCAACCUCAACUCCUUCUUCCAGUCGCUUGGGAUCGCUCAUCGUUUAGCAUGUCCACAUACUCAUCAGCAGAAUGGUUCCGUCGAGCGUAAGCAUCGUCAUAUUGUUGAGACUGGUCUCACUCUUUUGGCCCAUGCAUCGGUUCCUUUCCGGUUUUGGAGUGAUGAUUUUACCACUGCUUGUUUUCUUAUCAACCGUACUCCCACACGUGUUCUCAACAUGAAGACUCCCCUUGAACUUCUCCUUAAUGAACAACCCGAUUAUACUUUCUUUAAAGUUUUUGGGUGUGCUUGGUGGCCGCAUCUUCGCCCUUAUAAUAAACGCAAGCUGGAAUUUAGGUCCAAAAAGUGUGUCUUUCUUGGCUAUAGUUCCCUUCAUAAAGGUUACAAAUGUCUUCAUGUUCCCACUAAUCGUGUUUACAUCUCUCGGGAUGUGGUGUUUGAUGAGCAUGUCUUUCCGUUUGCCAAUCUACCUGUGUCCACAGAUGCUCCUCCGUCCAUGCAUUCAUCCUCUCUUGCCUCUGACCAAUUUGAUGAUGUUGCAUACUCUCCUGUGUUAUUGCCUAACCAUGGUGCAGGAACCGGACAUGGGGCUCGCUUGGAGCUUUUGGAGGACUCCCCAUCAUCAUCGCCGCCGCCCUCUGCUGUGCACGUCGAUCACGCAGCGACGUUGCAUGGCCUCGAUCCGUGUGCCCAUGCACGCUCGGUGGAUGCAACUAAGGCCUCGGCCUCAUCCUCUGAUCGGCCUCGGGCGCCUGCGUCUUCCGCGGAUCGGCCCGCUACGCCGGCCUCGCCCGUGUCUCCAGCGGAUCAGCCCGCUCCGCCGGCCUCGCCCGCGUCGUCAGCGGAUCGGCCCGCUACGCCGGCCUCGCCUGCAGCUCGGCCCACUACGCCGAACUCGCCCAUGGCUCGGUCCACUCCAUCGGCCUCGCCUGUGACUCUGCUGGGUAGUCCACUGGCGGGUUCUGGAUCCACUGAGCCCGCUGUCACGACAGAGGACCUGGUUCCAUCGUCUGCCUCUUCGUCGCCCAGCCCUUCGCCGGCUGCUUCUUCGACCUUGACGGCUCCUGUGUUACGUCCACAUACACGCAGUCGCAGUGGCAUUUUUCGACCAAAGGAGCGUACGGAUGGUACUGUUUCUUGGUUGGCAGCAUGUCUGGCUGCUGCUGUUGCGGAUCCGUCUUCUGAGCCCCGCUCGUAUCAGGCCGCCAUGCGUGUUCCUCAUUGGCGAGAGGCUAUGGAGCAGGAGUAUCAUGCUCUUCUUCGCAACGAGACAUGGACUCUUGUUCCUUCCCCACCACGGGUUAAUGUUAUUGGCUGCAAGUGGGUGUUCAAAGUUAAGAAGCAUUCGGAUGGAUCUAUUGAGCGUUAUAAAGCGCGCCUUGUCGCCAGAGGAUUUCGGCAACGCUAUGGUCUUGAUUACGAGGACACCUUCAGCCUGUUGUCAAGCCUACCACCAUUCGGAUUCUUCUUUCUCUUGCUGUCACUCGCGGUUGGUCUCUUCGUCAACAUGAUGUGCAGAAUGCCUUUCUUCAUGGGUUCUUGGAGGAAGAGGUUUAUAUGCGACAGCCGCCUGGUUUCUCUGAUCCUGAUCGUCCUGAUCACAUCUGCCAUCUCACCAAAGCGCUCUAUGGCCUGA